UGGGGAAUAUUGGACAAUGGGCGAAAGCCUGAUCCAGCCAUGCCGCGUGUGUGAAGAAGGUCUUCGGAUUGUAAAGCACUUUAAGUUGGGAGGAAGGGCAGUAAGCGAAUACCUUGCUGUUUUGACGUUACCGACAGAAUAAGCACCGGCUAACUCUGUGCCAGCAGCCGCGGUAAUACAGAGGGUGCAAGCGUUAAUCGGAAUUACUGGGCGUAAAGCGCGCGUAGGUGGUUCGUUAAGUUGAAUGUGAAAGCCCCGGGCUCAACCUGGGAACUGCAUACAAAACUGGCGAGCUAGAGUAGGGCAGAGGGUGGUGGAAUUUCCUGUGUAGCGGUGAAAUGCGUAGAUAUAGGAAGGAACACCAGUGGCGAAGGCGACCACCUGGGCUCAUACUGACACUGAGGUGCGAAAGCGUGGGGAGCAAAAAGG
RNAcentral lists this ribosomal RNA (429 nucleotides) under Pseudomonadota bacterium. RNAcentral's name for it is "Proteobacteria bacterium partial 16S ribosomal RNA". It matches the Rfam family "Bacterial small subunit ribosomal RNA", at positions 355 to 776 of the family's 1533-position model. The record is from RNAcentral. Lineage: Bacteria; Pseudomonadati; Pseudomonadota.